AGGCCUAACACAUGCAAGUCGAGCGGUAGAGAGAAGCUUGCUUCUCUUGAGAGCGGCGGACGGGUGAGUAAUACCUAGGAAUCUGCCUGAUAGUGGGGAUAACGUUCGGAAACGGACGCUAAUACCGCAUACGUCCUACGGGAGAAAGCAGGGGACCUUCGGGCCUUGCGCUAUCAGAUGAGCCUAGGUCGGAUUAGCUAGUUGGUGAGGUAAUGGGCUCACCAAGGCUACGAUCCGUAACUGGUCUGAGAGGAUGAUCAGUCACACUGGAACUGAGACACGGUCCAGACUCCUACGGGAGGCAGCAGUGGGGGAAUAUUGGACAAUGGGCGAAAGCCUGAUCCAGCCAUGCCGCGUGUGUGAAGAAGGUCUUCGGAUUGUAAAGCACUUUAAGUUGGGAGGAAGGGGCAUUAACCUAAUACGUUGGUGUCUUGACGUUACCGACAGAAUAAGCACCGGGCUAACUCUGUGCCCAGCAGCCGCGGGUAAAUA
This 492-nucleotide ribosomal RNA is filed under the name uncultured Pseudomonas sp. RNAcentral's name for it is "bacterial SSU rRNA". It matches the Rfam family "Bacterial small subunit ribosomal RNA", at positions 44 to 527 of the family's 1533-position model. The record is from RNAcentral. Lineage: Bacteria; Pseudomonadati; Pseudomonadota; Gammaproteobacteria; Pseudomonadales; Pseudomonadaceae.